AUGCCAUGAUGUGGGCAUUCUCUUUGUUGGUCUUUAUACCUUUCCCAUGCAUCACAGAGUGAUUCUCCUUCCUUUUGCCUGAAAGUGUUCAGCUUUAUUCUCAAUUU
This is a small nucleolar RNA of Hevea brasiliensis (rubber tree), 107 nucleotides long. The record is from RefSeq and is a predicted model, not a curated record. Lineage: Eukaryota; Viridiplantae; Streptophyta; Magnoliopsida; Malpighiales; Euphorbiaceae.